AUUGAACGCUGGCGGCAGGCCUAACACAUGCAAGUCGAACGGUAACAGAAAGCAGCUUGCUGCUUUGCUGACGAGUGUCGGACGGGUGAGUAAUGUCUGGGAAACUGCCUGAUGGAGGGGGAUAACUACUGGAAACGGUAGCUAAUACCGCAUAACGUCGCAAGACCAAAGAGGGGGACCUUCGGGCCUCUUGCCAUCGGAUGUGCCCAGAUGGGAUUAGCUAGUAGGUGGGGUAACGGCUCACCUAGGCGACGAUCCCUAGCUGGUCUGAGAGGAUGACCAGCCACACUGGAACUGAGACACGGUCCAGACUCCUACGGGAGGCAGCAGUGGGGAAUAUUGCACAAUGGGCGCAAGCCUGAUGCAGCCAUGCCGCGUGUAUGAAGAAGGCCUUCGGGUUGUAAAGUACUUUCAGCGGGGAGGAAGGGAGUAAAGUUAAUACCUUUGCUCAUUGACGUUACCCGAAGAAGAAGCACCGGCUAACUCCGUG
RNAcentral lists this ribosomal RNA (490 nucleotides) under uncultured bacterium. RNAcentral describes it as "partial 16S ribosomal RNA". It matches the Rfam family "Bacterial small subunit ribosomal RNA", at positions 30 to 507 of the family's 1533-position model. The record is from RNAcentral.